GGUGGUCGGGUCUGGUAUGUCNUAGGAGANGCCCUGGCGUUUUUUCUAUGUGUACUCUGCCAUGUUGCUUCCCCNGACCAGUGGCCACUGCUGCCAGCCCAGCCCCUAAUGGGUUCCUGGGUUGAGGUGUCUGGGGAAGGGCUCAAUAUCAAACUUUUCAACCCACUAGUCGUCUGAGAAGGCCAUGUGCCGCAAUAUUUAAACAAGUUAAAACUUUCAACAACGGAUCUCUUGGCUCUCGCAUCGAUGAAGAACGCAGCGAAAUGCGAUAAGUAAUGUGAAUUGCAGAAUUCAGUGAAUCAUCGAAUCUUUGAACGCACAUUGCGCCCUUUGGUAUUCCUUAGGGCAUGCCUGUUCGAGCGUCACUAAAAACCGACUCACAUAUCGUGUGGUAUUGGUAGAAGUGGAUAGUACUAACACUACUUUGUCUUACUCUGCUGAAAUGAAUAGGCCAGAAAAGUGGACCAUGGUAAUAGAUUCCAGGAGUGUUUUAAAAUGCUAUACUAGUCUUAUCCAAGUCAUAUUCUGAGCCACUGGACCCCCCAUUUAGUCCAAACAACAGUGGUUGACCUCGGAUCAGGUAGGGAUACCC
RNAcentral lists this ribosomal RNA (592 nucleotides) under uncultured Tuber. RNAcentral's name for it is "eukaryotic LSU rRNA". The stretch from base 212 to 365 matches the Rfam family "5.8S ribosomal RNA". Lineage: Eukaryota; Fungi; Ascomycota; Pezizomycetes; Pezizales; Tuberaceae. The record is from RNAcentral.